Molecule: long non-coding RNA, 440 nt
Organism: Ochotona princeps (American pika)
Lineage: Eukaryota; Metazoa; Chordata; Mammalia; Lagomorpha; Ochotonidae
Exons: 3
Source: RefSeq, a predicted model, not a curated record
GUUCUAAUCACGAUCCUCAUAAAGAGAUAACCGAUACUACUUUGCUCUUGUUGUGCAAACUGUCAAGGGCCAAACAAGGAGAAAACAGAAACUAAAGAGGUACCACUUCUUUCUUAGGAAGAUUUGUGUCAGUGAUGACUGAAUCAUUCCAAAAAUGCCAAUCCCUCCAGAACAAACAGUUCCUGGAGCUAAAUUACAUCACUCUGCAUGUAUGGGACACAUCUCAGAGCCCUCAUGGAAAUUUGUUCUUUGCUUCCUGCAUAUAGUGAGGUCAACCACUGGCUGGCAUGGCUGAAGUUCAAACUGGAGCCCUUGAGGAACAAGCUGAAUUCUGGAUUGACUCCUGUGAAAAAGACAGAAAAUGUGCUUUGCAGUAGGAAAAACAACAACUCAAAAACAUGAUUCUAUAAAGACACAAACCUGAAUGUAGAAAAGCUAGA